RNAcentral lists this long non-coding RNA (907 nucleotides) under Lonchura striata (white-rumped munia). RNAcentral describes it as "domestica (Bengalese finch) lncRNA (ENSLSDG00000001096.1)". The record is from RNAcentral. Lineage: Eukaryota; Metazoa; Chordata; Aves; Passeriformes; Estrildidae.
UGGGAAUGGCACUGGGAGCACUGGGAAUGGGACUGGGAGCACUGGGAAUGGCACUGGGAACACUGGGAAUGGGACUGGGAGCACUGGGAGCACUGGGAAUGGACUGGGAGCACUGGGAAUGGGACUGGGAAUGGCACUGGGAGCACUGGGAAUGGACUGGGAAUGGACUGGGAAUGGACUGGGAGCACUGGGAAUGGAGCACUGGGAAUGGACUGGGAGCACUGGGAAUGGAGCACUGGGAAUGGGACUGGGAAUGGACUGGGAAUGGACUGGGAGCACUGGGAAUGGACUGGGAAUGGACUGGGAGCACUGGGAAUGGAGCACUGGGAAUGGGACUGGGAAUGCACUGGGAAUGGACUGGGAGCACUGGGAAUGGAGCACUGGGAAUGGGACUGGGAAUGGCACUGGGAGCACUGGGAGCACUGGGAGCACUGGGAAUGGACUGGGAGCACUGGGAAUGGCACUGGGAUUAAUGGGACUGGGAGCACUGGGAAUGGCACUGGGAGCACUGGGAGCACUGGGAGCACUGGGAGCACUGGGAAUGGGACUGGGAGCACUGGGAAUUCCGGACCCACCUUGCCUGAAGCCUGGGCAGAUUCCCGAGGGUUUUUCCCAGGGUAUUUCCCAGGUUUUUCCCAGGGUAUUUCCCAGGUUUUUCCUUGGAAUUUUCCCGGGUUUUUCCCAGGGUAUUUCCCGUGUUUUUCCCAGGGUAUUUCCCAGGUUUUUCCUUGGAAUUUUCCCGUGUUUUUCCCAGGGUAUUUCCCAUGGUUUUCCCGUGUUUUUCCCAGGGUAUUUCCCGUGUUUUUCCCGUGUUUUCCCGUGUUUUUCCCGGAAUUCCGGACCCACCUGUGCCGAAGGCGCCGAUGCUGCCCCGCAGCCCCUCCAGGUCGCAGCCGAAGCGCCCGGC